UACGGGAGGCAGCAGGGGGAAUAUUGCACAAUGGGCGAAAGCCUGAUGCAGCUAUGCCGCGUGUAUGAAGAAGGCCUUAGGGUUGUAAAGUACUUUCAUCGGGGAGGAAAAAACAAAACUAAUAAUUUUAUUUCUUGACGUUACCCGAAAAAGAAGCACCGGCUAACUCCGUGCCAGCAGCCGCGGUAAUACGGAGGGUGCUAGCGUUAAUCAGAAUUACUGGGCGUAAAGAGCACGUAGGUGGUUUUUUUAAGUCAGAUGUGAAAUCCCUGGGCUUAACCUGGAACUGCAUUUUGAAACUGAAAUACUAGAGUAUCGUAGAGGGAGGUAGAAUUCUAGGUGUAGCGGUGAAAUGCGUAGAUAUCUGGAGGAAUACCUGUGGCGAAAGCGGCCUCCUAAACGAAUACUGACACUGAGGGUGCGAAAAGCGUGGGGAGCAAAACAGGGAUUAGAUACC
RNAcentral lists this ribosomal RNA (457 nucleotides) under uncultured bacterium. RNAcentral describes it as "bacterial SSU rRNA". It matches the Rfam family "Bacterial small subunit ribosomal RNA", at positions 340 to 786 of the family's 1533-position model. The record is from RNAcentral.